Molecule: ribosomal RNA, 730 nt
Filed under: Thermomonas sp. YIM207
Lineage: Bacteria; Pseudomonadati; Pseudomonadota; Gammaproteobacteria; Lysobacterales; Lysobacteraceae
Description: bacterial SSU rRNA
Rfam family: Bacterial small subunit ribosomal RNA
Source: RNAcentral
GUCGAACGGCAGCACAGGCAGAGCUUGCUCUGUGGGUGGCGAGUGGCGGACGGGUGAGGAAUACAUGGGAAUCUGCCCAGUCGUGGGGGAUAACGUAGGGAAACUUACGCUAAUACCGCAUGCGCCCUUCGGGGGAAAGCCGGGGACCUUCGGGCCUGGCGCGAUUGGAUGAGCCCAUGUCGGAUUAGCUAGUUGGCGGGGUAAUGGCCCACCAAGGCGACGAUCCGUAGCUGGUCUGAGAGGAUGAUCAGCCACACUGGAACUGAGACACGGUCCAGACUCCUACGGGAGGCAGCAGUAGGGAAUAUUGGACAAUGGGCGCAAGCCUGAUCCAGCCAUGCCGCGUGAGUGAAGAAGGCCCUCGGGUUGUAAAGCUCUUUUGUCCGGAAAGAAAAGCGCCGGGUUAAUACCCUGGUGUCCUGACGGUACCGGAAGAAUAAGCACCGGCUAACUUCGUGCCAGCAGCCGCGGUAAUACGAAGGGUGCAAGCGUUACUCGGAAUUACUGGGCGUAAAGCGUGCGUAGGUGGUUUGUUAAGUCUGAUGUGAAAGCCCUGGGCUCAACCUGGGAAUUGCAUUGGAUACUGGCAGGCUAGAGUGCGGUAGAGGGUAGUGGAAUUCCCGGUGUAGCAGUGAAAUGCGUAGAGAUCGGGAGGAACAUCUGUGGCGAAGGCGACUACCUGGACCAGCACUGACACUGAGGCACGAAAGCGUGGGGAGCAAACAGGAUU